UGGGGUGAUUGAAGAGAUUUAAGGUGUUAUAAAUAUUUGUAGGAUUUAGUAUAGUCAUUUAAAGUGCAAGUUGAAAUUGAUUGACAAUGAACCUAUUUGAAUGACUUGAUUAUUGCAUAUAUGGAAAAUGAUUGUCCAAACCUGUAAAUUUGAGCAUCUAAAUAUAGUUAGUAGGUAGACUGUAUAAUAAAUUAUAACUUAAAGCUAGUAGAUGCAACUUAUAGUAAUUCAAAAGGUCAUAGCCACUGAAUUUUAACAAUUUCGUCGAGUAAGAAAAAUAAACAGCAAUAAAAAGUUUUGAAAUAUGUUCAUCCAAAUCAAUAAAUAAAAGUAGUGACAUAAAUAUUUUUCAUACGAUCUUUAGAUAAAUGAAGUAUUAUCCUUACCCAUAUGCUGCAAAUGUUGCUGGCUGACCAAGUAAACCAAAAUGAAAAGAGCAAUGAUUGCUUCAUGGAAAAAAAUAUAGUGCACAGCUUACAGAAAAUAUGAAA
RNAcentral lists this long non-coding RNA (491 nucleotides) under Solanum tuberosum (potato). RNAcentral's name for it is "long non-coding RNA (STUB_LNC010027)". The record is from RNAcentral. Lineage: Eukaryota; Viridiplantae; Streptophyta; Magnoliopsida; Solanales; Solanaceae.